UAUUACGGUGAUGAGCCUACAGACCUGUAAUGAGUUGCGGUGAUGAUCGCAAGUCUUUAGAACAUCUAAGGGACUGAGUUUCA
This is a small nucleolar RNA of Carya illinoinensis, 83 nucleotides long. RefSeq annotates it as small nucleolar RNA SNORD25. NCBI's taxonomy places the organism in Eukaryota, Viridiplantae, Streptophyta, Magnoliopsida, Fagales, Juglandaceae. The transcript has a single exon. The record is from RefSeq and is a predicted model, not a curated record.